RNAcentral lists this ribosomal RNA (833 nucleotides) under uncultured organism. Its description in RNAcentral is "bacterial SSU rRNA". It matches the Rfam family "Bacterial small subunit ribosomal RNA", at positions 29 to 879 of the family's 1533-position model. The record is from RNAcentral.
AUGAACGCUGGCGGCGUGCUUAACACAUGCAAGUCGAACGAGAAAGCUCCUUCGGGAGUGAGUACAGUGGCGAACGGGUGCGUAACACGUUGGUGACCUGCCUUGAGGAGGGGGACAACCGUGGGAAACCACGGCUAAUACCCCNGGAUGUCUAAACUGUUAGAGGGUUUAGACUAAAACUUCGGUGCCUCAAGAGGGGCCUGCGGGCUAUCAGCUUGUUGGUGGGGUAAUGGCCUACCAAGGCUAAGACGGCUAGGGGGCGUGAGAGCGCGACCCCCCACAAUGGAACUGAGACACGGUCCAUACUCCUACGGGAGGCAGCAGUGAGGAAUAUUGCGCAAUGGGGGAAACCCUGACGCAGCAACGCCGCGUGAACGAUGAAGGCCUUCGGGUCGUAAAGUUCUUUUCUAAGGGAAGAUAGUGACGGUACCUUAGGAAUAAGUCCCGGCUAACUACGUGCCAGCAGCCGCGGUAAAACGUAGGGGGCGAGCGUUAUCCGGAUUUAUUGGGCGUAAAGCGCACGUAGGUGGCGCUGUAAGUUAGACGUGAAAGCUCUCGGCUCAACUGAGAGAGGUCGUUUAAAACUGCAGUGCUUGAGGUUGGAAGAGGAGAGCAGAAUUCCCGGUGUAGUGGUGGAAUGCGUAGAUAUCGGGAGGAAUACCAGUGGCGAAGGCGGCUCUCUAGUCUACACCUGACACUGAGGUGCGAAAGCGUGGGUAGCGAACGGGAUUAGAUACCCCGGUAGUCCACGCUGUAAACGAUGGAUACUAGGUGUAGGGGGUCAUUUAACCCCUCUGUGCCGAAGCAAACGCGUUAAGUAUCCCGCCUGGGGA